AUGAUUUGCCUAAGGUGGAACUGCCGGGGGCUUGGGAACCCCGAGGCAGUUCGCGAGCUUCGCAAUGUCGUGAAGCAAGAAGGCCCCGCUCUGGUCUUUGUCAUGGAAACAAAGAUCCGAGGGAAACAUGUUGAGAAAUUACAGCAGACGCUAGGAUUCGCUGGUUGUUUUGUUGUGGAUAGCGACAGACUAAGUGGGGGUACUAGCCUCUUUUGGUCCAGAAACGUAAUAAUUGAGCUCAAGAACUAUAGCUCGAGCCACAUUGAUGUUGUGGUUCGCGAUGCACUAAAUACUGCAGUGAAUUGGAGGUUCACCGGGUUUUGUGGAGCGCCAAGAGCUGAAACCAUACACCAUAGUUGGCGAUUCCUACGUAGUCUACACAACUUACCUCAUUCAGAGUGGUUGUGUAUGUGUGACUUUAAUGAAACCCUAUAUGGGGAAGAACAUUUCAGCAGGGCAGCUCGACCAGAGUGGCAAAUGAGAGCAUUCCGUGAAGUUGUCAGUGAUUAUGCUCUCCGGGAUUUAGGUUGGUCUGGGGUACCCUACACAUGGGACAACCGACAAUCCGGAGAUGCUAAUGUGAAGGCUCGACUUGAUCGUGUUUUUGCAAAUGAGGAGUUCCAACAGAAAUGCGAGCAUGCUAAGGUGCACCAUGUGUGUUCCCUAGAGUCUGAUCACUGCUUUGUGGUGGUUGAUCUUCAACACCAUCCACCCAAUAGACAUGCUCCGAAACCAUUUCAGUAUGAGAACAUAUGGCAAUCUCAUAGUCCCGGUGUUAUUGGAUUUCUUGAAUGGUGGUGA
Molecule: ribosomal RNA, 801 nt
Filed under: Triticum aestivum (bread wheat)
Lineage: Eukaryota; Viridiplantae; Streptophyta; Magnoliopsida; Poales; Poaceae
Description: partial small subunit ribosomal RNA
Source: RNAcentral